This 301-nucleotide ribosomal RNA is filed under the name uncultured bacterium. Its description in RNAcentral is "partial 16S ribosomal RNA". It matches the Rfam family "Bacterial small subunit ribosomal RNA", at positions 509 to 808 of the family's 1533-position model. The record is from RNAcentral.
CAGCAGCCGCGGUAACACGGAGGGGGCUAGCGUUGUUCGGAAUUACUGGGCGUAAGGCGCACGUAGGCGGCUUGGUAAGUUAGAGGUGAAAGCCUGGAGCUCAACUCCAGAACUGCCUUUAAGACUGCCGAGCUAGCAGGUGAGAGAGGUAAGUGGAAUUCCGAGUGUAGAGGUGAAAUUCGUAGAUAUUCGGAAGAACACCAGUGGCGAAGGCGGCUUACUGGCUCAUACUGGACGCUGAGGUGCGAAAGCGUGGGGAGCAAACAGGAUUAGAUACCCCAGUAUCCCUGUCUCUUAUACC